UACGUAGGGUGCAAGCGUUGUCCGGAAUUAUUGGGCGUAAAGAGCUCGUAGGCGGUUUGUUGCGUCGGCUGUGAAAUCCCGAGGCUCAACCUCGGGUCUGCAGUCGAUACGAGCAAACUAGAGUGUUGCAGGGGAGACUGGAAUUCCUGGUGUAGCGGUGAAAUGCGCAGAUAUCAGGAGGAACACCUGAGGUGAAGACGGGUUGCUGGGCCGACACUGACGCUGAGUGCGCGAAAGCCAGGGGAGCAAACGGG
RNAcentral lists this ribosomal RNA (254 nucleotides) under uncultured bacterium. Its description in RNAcentral is "partial 16S ribosomal RNA". It matches the Rfam family "Bacterial small subunit ribosomal RNA", at positions 524 to 776 of the family's 1533-position model. The record is from RNAcentral.